RNAcentral lists this unclassified non-coding RNA (398 nucleotides) under fungal sp. RNAcentral's name for it is "partial internal transcribed spacer region". The stretch from base 1 to 46 matches the Rfam family "Eukaryotic small subunit ribosomal RNA", at positions 1786 to 1831 of the family's 1831-position model. Lineage: Eukaryota; Fungi. The record is from RNAcentral.
AAGUCGUAACAAGGUUUCCGUAGGUGAACCUGCGGAAGGAUCAUUAACACGUAUCCACGUAAAUACCAACGUGAACCCGUUUUCAAGUCUCCCUUCGAGGCACAUGAAUUGGUAAUCAAAACAGAUUAAUGAGUGGGCCUCUUCACCGAGGCAGGUCUGUUCUAUGACACACUGAAGUGAUUCGUCGCUUCGACAAUUGUAGUGCACGGAGGCCAACAUCUAUUACUGACAAUCUCCAUUCUUGAUCCAAGUAAUAGACAUAUUAACCUUAUUCACCCCUUUUUGCUAGUUGACUUUAUUAUGUUGUGAUCAUUGAAAGGUUUAUUUCUUUCGCUGGUCUCACACGUUUAAUUAUUUAAACGAUAGAACAACUCUUAGCAAUGGAUAUCUUGGUUCUC